This 387-nucleotide ribosomal RNA is filed under the name uncultured bacterium. RNAcentral describes it as "bacterial SSU rRNA". It matches the Rfam family "Bacterial small subunit ribosomal RNA", at positions 29 to 414 of the family's 1533-position model. The record is from RNAcentral.
AUUGAACGCUGGCGGCAUGCUUUACACAUGCAAGUCGAACGGCAGCACGGGGGCAACCCUGGUGGCGAGUGGCGAACGGGUGAGUAACACAUCGGAACGUGCCCAGUUGUGGGGGAUAACCUAUCGAAAGGUAGGCUAAUACCGCAUGAGCUCGGCAAGAGGAAAGCGGGGGACUCAGCGAUGGGCCUCGCGCGACUGGAGCGGCCGAUGUCCGAUUAGCAGUUGGUGGGGUAAAGGCUUACCAAGGCGACGAUCGGUAGCUGGUCUGAGAGGAUGAUCAGCCACACUGGGACUGAGACACGGCCCAGACUCCUACGGGAGGCAGCAGUGGGGAAUUUUGGACAAUGGGGCAACCCUGAUCCAGCCAUGCCGCGUGAGUGAAGAAGG